GAAAUGCGAUAAGUAGUGUGAAUUGCAGAAUUCAGUGAAUCUUCGAAUCUUUGAACGCACAUUGCGCCCCUUGGUAUUCCAUGGGGCAUGCCUGUUCGAGCGUCAUUUGUACCCUCAAGCUCUGCUUGGUGUUGGGUGUUUGUCCCGUCUCCGCGCGUGGACUCGCCCCAAAGUGAUUGGCAGCCGGCGUACUGGUCCCGGAGCGCAGCACAUGUCGCGCAAACGAGUGCCUUGGUACGGCGGCGUCCAUAAGCCCCUCUCUCACGCUCUUGACCUCGGAUCAGGUAGGGAUACCCGCUGAACUUAAGC
Molecule: unclassified non-coding RNA, 309 nt
Filed under: plant metagenome
Description: partial contains 5.8S ribosomal RNA, internal transcribed spacer 2, and large subunit ribosomal RNA
Rfam family: 5.8S ribosomal RNA (bases 1-105)
Source: RNAcentral